RNAcentral lists this ribosomal RNA (492 nucleotides) under uncultured bacterium. RNAcentral describes it as "partial 16S ribosomal RNA". It matches the Rfam family "Bacterial small subunit ribosomal RNA", at positions 29 to 507 of the family's 1533-position model. The record is from RNAcentral.
AGUGAACGCUGGCGGUAGGCCUAACACAUGCAAGUCGAACGGCAGCACAGUAAGAGCUUGCUCUUACGGGUGGCGAGUGGCGGACGUGUGAGGAAUACAUCGGAAUCUACUUUUUCGUGGGGGAUAACGUAGGGAAACUUACGCUAAUACCGCAUACGACCUACGGGUGAAAGCAGGGGAUCUUCGGACCUUGCGCGAUUGAAUUAGCCGAUGUCGGAGUAGCUAGUUGGCGGGGUAAAGGCCCACCAAGGCGACGAUCCGUAGCUGGUCUGAGAGGAUGAUAAGCCACCCUGGAACUGAGACACGGUCCAGACUCCUACGGGAGGCAGCAGUGGGGAAUAUUGGACAAUGGGCGCAAGCCUGAUACAGCCAUACCGAGUGGGUGAAGAAGGCCUUCGGGUUGUAAAGCCCUUUUGUUGGGAAAGAAAAGCAGCAGGUUAAUACCCAGCUGUUCUGACGGUACCCAAAGAAUAAGCACCGGCUAACUUCGUG